Non-coding RNA from Acanthosepion pharaonis, 95 nucleotides. Lineage: Eukaryota; Metazoa; Mollusca; Cephalopoda; Sepiida; Sepiidae. The record is from the annotation of a GenBank genome assembly.
CGUUGAAACACCGGUUCCCGUGCGAUCACCGAAGUUAAGCAAUAUUGGGUGUGGUCAGUGCCUAGAUGGGUGACCGCUUCAGAAUACCAAGUGCU